CCCCGACUCGCUCUGUUGGUAGAGCAUGAGACUCGUGAACUCAGGGUAGUGGGUUCGCGACCCCCGUCGGGCG
Molecule: transfer RNA, 73 nt
Filed under: Lepisosteus oculatus (spotted gar)
Lineage: Eukaryota; Metazoa; Chordata; Actinopteri; Semionotiformes; Lepisosteidae
Rfam family: tRNA
About the family: Transfer RNA (tRNA) molecules are approximately 80 nucleotides in length. Their secondary structure includes four short double-helical elements and three loops (D, anti-codon, and T loops).
Source: Rfam by way of RNAcentral